UUGAUCAUUCUAACAUUAUUCAAAUCUUUAUGCAAACUAAGACAAGUACUUGCCUUCAUUAAGAUUUGCCUUCACUGAGACACUGCAAAUCUUGGGCUCGAAAAGAUAAUCCAGAACCACUGAACUUUUGCUCAGUUAUUUGGUCAAGGUGAGCUCCCAUUUCAGCUGUCAAAUAGUUCUUCCAAUCACCAACUUUACCUUUCCUAAAGAAUGAAUUGUUUUCAAUUUUGAGAGCUCCUGUUGCAGAGUUCUCUAAGCUAUUUCUGUUCACUUCCAAAUUGCUUAGAGUCUCAAAGCUGCACAAGUUGACGAUUUUUUGCACUAACCCUUGUCUCUCUUCUUCUGCAGAAAAAGGGCAACUCAUGAAUUCAGCAAUUCUUUUGACAUAGGAGAAAGGAUCAUUCAUCAUAUCUUCAUAUUUCAUAAAGAGUAUUUUCUCUGGAAAUUCAAGACUUGCUUUCCAGGAGCUUUUUUUCAAAUUAUACCUAAAUAAAAUUUAUUUUUUCAAAUCAUGCAUUUUCGGAUCUGUGUGUCAAACCUGAGUGUUCGGCAGUCAUACUACCGAACACUCUUGUUCGCGCGGAGCCAUUGUUCGACACUAAUGGUGUCGAACAACGGCUUCUCCUGCCACGGGAGCAGUUUUAUGCUCCCGUGGCGCACUAGGCGUGUUCGGCACCAUUGGUGUCGAACACGCCUGACAUGUUCCUCCCAUUCAUGCCCCCUUCUGUAGGGCUACUUACUUGCAUAUUCAUUUUUUUUUUUUAUUUUAUUUCAUCUCUCAUUACUCUCUCAAAAUCGUUCCCUCCAAAUACGUCGGAGACUGGCGAGGCACUUGAGCUCCAAACAAACAUGUGGAGCUCCUUAGCGUCAUGGUUUGCUUUGGAAUUCUGUUGCUGAGGCUGCUGCUGUUGCUCCUGUUGCUGCUGCUGAAGAUUCUUGGUGUUUUUUGUGGAAACCGUUGAAGAAAAUUCCGGAUUUGGUGCUGGAUAAGAUGUUGGCACCGUUUGCGCCGGAUAAAACCCGAAUCUUGGAGAAGAAUUUGUAGCCAUUGGAGCACAGUUUUCUUCAAAGUUUGAGGGCCGAGGUGUUGGACCUCUUGAAGAUUGUACAGAGUACAAGUCCGCCGGACCAAAAUUUGAGAGUUUUCCACCGGGGAAUCCCUGCACACCCAUCAUAUUAUAGAAGUCGGAAGUGUUAAAAUUAGAUCCUCUUGGGGUUGGAUUUCUUGAUGAACUCAAGCUAUAAAUCUCAGCUCCAGUAAGAUUCGAGGGACGAGGAGUCAAUCCAGAGAAAGAACCAGGCCCCAAAGAUCGCCGCGAAGCAUUGGAUUUCCUCACCGUCACAUGCAGCUUCCCAUCAUCACCAAUCUCAGCAUCUGUUUCCAAGAAAUCUCUACCGUCUAAAGGCUCCCGUACCGCGCUGUGCAGCGCCACGCGGGGCGCAAAAAGAAGAGUUCGGCACGAACUCUUCUUUUUGCGUGACUGCAGAUCCGUCAGGCGUGGAGUGCAGAACACGCCUCCUGUGCCACGGGAGCAGUUGGUGUUCGACACCAUUGAUGUCGAACACCAGUGUCCGCGUGGCAGUUCGACACCAAUGGUGUCGAACAACGGCUCCGCACGGUGUCGAACUUCACUCUGUUUGGUGUCGAACAAGAGUGUUCGGCAGUACACUCAGGUUUGACACACAGGAUCCGAAAAUAUUUUCGGAUCCUGCAUGAUUUGAAAAAAUAAAUUUUAUUUAUGUAUGAUUUGAAAAAAAGCUCGCUUUCCAGUACCCUAAAAUAUGAUCCCACCAAGGUCCACAAGAAUUUAUUCCUUUGCAAAAAUACUGAUAUGCUGUCUCUAAUGGAAUGGCUUCCUUGCGUAACUUACACAUAAACUGCCAAUACGAAAUAAACAAAUCCUUGGGAUCUCUGGAGAGGUAAAUGAUUUUACACUUCAACUCUACAAUAUACUUGGGCAAAAGAGUGUAGGGAAUGUGUGUGGCAAAAACUGGAAGUUCAGAUUCUCUGUUAGCCGAAAUUUCAAUCCAAGGAAUAAAAUCGUGUGGGGACUUCGUGAACAAUGGAUGUGAGGAGAAAUCAUUGAAUCGUGUUCUUGUGAAAGUAGCAAAACACAAGGCUUUAAGCCAAGUGGUGCCAGAUUUUGGAUUGGUGCAAAUGAUAAUAUCAGUAGGUUGGGGUGUGAAGUGUUCAUGCACUGACAUUAUGCUUUCUAGCAUAGUUGUACGAAACCAAAAGCCUUGAUACUUAUGGAUGUAUUGAUCGAGUGGUGGUGCAAAGACAUUUGGUUGACGAGGAAGAGUUGAAAUUAUCUCUCUAUAUUUUGUAGGGUUUAUUGGAGACUCGUUGGUGUUCAUGGAAGUAGACAAAAUUGCCUCAAGGACCAUUCACUUGAAGAACUGUAAUGGUCUAUUUAUAGAGAAAAAAGUUUUAGCAAGCAUUUGGCAAUUGGUGAUAUUAAUCUCCCAAUUCUGCAUAUUGGGCCACCAUGUGAAUAAGAUGACAAAUGCAUGAAUGGGUGAUCCAGGUUGGUAGCAAAUUUAUGCCAUAAGAUAUAGUUUUCUGCUUUCUCAUUAUAUAAAAAUGUUUUUAUAUUUUAAUUUCCUCAAUUGAAAAAAAUUUUCGUCCAGUUAAAUUUAUUUUUCAAUUUAUUUAUUGGCUAAAGCAGAAAAAAUUUAUUUAUAUUCUAAAAUUAUCCUUUAAAAAAAAAGAAAAAAAAUUUUUAAUUUGCAAAGAUCUCAAAAGAAAAAAAAGAAAAAUAUUGAAAAUAAAAUUUGAAUAAGGUAAAACAGUUUAUUUUAUGGUAAAUACAAACGAGAUUAUUUUAGUUUAUCUAUUUGAAUUAACGAAAAAAAUAAAUUUAAUUUGACGGAAGUUCUUUUCGAGUGACAUAAUCAAAAUAUAUGAGUAUUUUAAUAUAAUUUUAAGAUAAUAUUUUUAUUAGUUAGAUCAUAAUACAGAAAUGCCAAAAUAAUUAUCUGUCUCAAAGAAAAAAUUUAAAUAUGAGAUUUUAUUCACUCUCCACACCUUAAAUUUGAUAUUCAGUGGCAAAUUUAUAUUGAUCAGCAUAAAAAAAAUUUUAUAGAAUUUUUUGUACUAAUUUUAAUGUUUAUAAAAUGAAAUAUUAAUUCUUUAAAAAAAUAUCUCACUAAAAUAUUUUAUCAACAAAAUUCGUUAAUUCUGAAUGUUAUAUUUGUGUAAUUUUUUUUCUUUAAAAUAUUUUUUUAGCAGUGGGCUGUAUGAUAUUGAAAUUCACUUCCAGUUUUUAAGAUAUCUAUUCUGAUAUUGUUGUAGAGUUUUGUUUAUACUUUUAUUUCAAAAAGCAAUUAAAAUAUUUAUCAAAAUUAACCCAAUAGCUAUAAUUAAUACAAAAUUUUAAAUUGAAUUAAAAUUAUAAAAAUUUGAAAAAAUUUGGAAAAUUUUACCAUUAUGAUCCAUUAAUAAAAUAAUAAUGUUUUAAUUCAUCAAACUUAAAAUUUUUUUUAAAAAUAAUAUUAUAUUAAAUCAAAAUUUAUUUGACUCUUAAUAAAAUUAUAAAAAUUUUAUUAAUAAAAAAAUAAAUUAAAUUUAGUUGGCUCUGAAUAAAUACAGGAGAUUAAUUAAGCUUAUUUUCAAUACUAGAUUAUUUAAUUUUAAAAAAUAAAAUCAGUGAUAUAAUUAUUAAUUUUAUUAUAAUCUAAAAAUUAAAAUAUAUUUUAUAUUUAACAAUAUUUUGUCAUUUUAAAAAUAAUUACAAUAACAUAUUUAUCUUAAAUUUAUUAUGUUUAUCUAUUGUCGCAAGAAAUUAUAAUCCUUCGUUCGUGCAUUAAAUUAAUAAUAUUAUAAAAAUAAUUAAAAAAAAUUAAAAUUAUUCACAAACCUGCAUUAUUAUUAUUAUUAUUAUUAUUUAGUCAUGCUUAUAUGGAAAGUGCAAUUAAAUUUAAAUUUAAUAAAUUUAAAAAAUUAUUAAUUGACAUGAUAUGACAUAACAUCACAUCACAUAACAUGACGUGACAUGACAUGGAUAGAACACCCCAUGUGAAAAGUGUCUGAUAUUAUCAGCUAAAAAACAGAACAAAUAAUUUUAUAUCUGUCGACUCUGCAUUAUGCUGAUAUUUUUUAAAAUAAAUUAGUUUACAAUUUAGCCAAAUUUUUAAUUUUAUAGAGCUGUAAAUAUAAGAGAAAUUAUAAUUAUUUUUUCAGGAAAAUGUAUUUAUUUUCUAUAACAACUGAAAUAAGUUUAAAUUAAAAUAGAUAAUUAUAAAAUAAGUAAUGAAAUGGAAUUUAGGCUUCAAUCUUUUUAUUAAAAACAUUUUUAAGAAAGUAUUUUCAGAUUUUUUAAUAUUUACAAUAUUAAAAAAAAGUCAAUAAUAUUUAUUUAACAGGUAAGUGUUAAUAAUUCAGACACAUUAUUUGUUAUUAUUUUUUUCAUAAAAAUUUUUUUUUAUACCUUUAUAUAAUAAUAUACCCAUUCAAUUUUAUCCAUAAUUUUUAAAAGAUUUUUUUUUUCGUCUAAAAUCAUCAGUUUAAGAAUACUAAUAUUUUUCAAUUUUAUCCUUAUUUUUAUUGAACCUAAUAAUUAUUUCUAUAAUUUCCUAAAACACAUUUUAUAAUUUUCCUUUCUCUCUUAAGCAACCCACUUUUCUAAUAAUAAAUUAAUGAAAUAAAAUAUUAAAAUUGAAGAAAGUAAGUCAAAAAUAAAUAAUAAUUUAAUUAAAUUAAGAGUAUUAUACGAGAAAAUAUAUUGAAAUUGAUGAGAAAAGAGUAGUCAAUAUAAAAUUAUUAUUGAUGAUCGCCGAAUCUCAUCAUCACUGGACAAGACCGAAUUCAAGAGGACAGCGCCGGUCCAAAGCCCAUGAAGCUUUUUUUGUCGAUUGGUUCAGCCUCUUCGACUCUAAUUCAGACAUGCGUGAUAGACUGGUCAUCCGCGAGGGUUCAGUAAAAAGAAGCUCGUGAUGAUGUGAUAUGAAGGAGGACAGCAAGCCCGCGCCAGGGGAAUUAAAUGACCGUCUGGCGUAGAGAGAAAUUCGGACGCAUCCAUACGUACGGACGUGAAUGACAGGGACAUAUGGUACUGUAGCAAAGAAGUUAUUAGAUGUCACUAGCAGACAAAUGGAAAGAAAGAAAAGGGAGAAAUGUUUUCCUCCCCAAUGAAACUAGCAGAUAAAUGAAAUGGAAUAAAAGGAGAGAAACUUCUUCCUCCCCAUCGAAACUCACACAAAACUACUUUAAAUCGUAUUUUUUUUAAACUCAGGACAUCAAUGAUCAAUAAACUAAGAUAAGCUUUCAUUAAGAUCACUACAACAUAUGCUUAGGUUGAUCAUUCUAACAUUAUUCAAAUCUUUAUGCAAACUAAGACAAGUACUUGCCUUCAUUAAGAUUUGCCUUCACUGAGACACUGCAAAUCUUGGGCUUGAAAAGAUAAUCCAGAACCACUGAACUUUUGCUCAGUUAUUUGGUCAAGGUGAGCUCCCAUUUCAGCUGUCAAAUAGUUCUUCCAAUCACCAACUUUACCUUUCCUAAAGAAUGCAUUGUUUUCAAUUUUGAGAGCUCCUGUUGCAGAGUUCUCUAAGCUAUUUCUGUUCACUUCCAAAUUGCUUAGAGUCUCAAAGCUGCACAAGUUGACAAUUUUUUGCACUAACCCUUGUCUCUCUUCUUCUGCAG
This 5644-nucleotide long non-coding RNA is filed under the name Manihot esculenta (cassava). RNAcentral's name for it is "long non-coding RNA (MESC_LNC003853)". The record is from RNAcentral. Lineage: Eukaryota; Viridiplantae; Streptophyta; Magnoliopsida; Malpighiales; Euphorbiaceae.